GAAGGGCUGCUCGUGGUGCAGGUUCUGACCUUCAGGAGGGAUACUCCUCAAGUUACUGAAACAUCCUGACUUGAGAAAGUGGUAUUUUUAUAGAGUUAAAAAGAAACUUCUGAUCAUUUGUAUACACGCAUUCUCUUAUAAUUUUAUGCUAUAAUGCUGUUGCAGACAUUUUUCUUUUGACCAAAAUUGGCUUGUGGUUUCUUGUUUUAAUUGAAAAAUUUUUGGGUCUCUCCAGAAUACAUGUGGGUCUCUAGCCCCGCUGAAGGCUGUUUGAGGUUUGUUUAGUAAUAUUUCUUUGUUGUUCUUUGAAAGCUCAGGCCCUCAGCCUGUUUAUUACUAAAUGAGGGAAUUAUGUGAUUGAAAAGUUAUUUAACGUGAAGCGUUUUCUAGUGAAGGGCUUUGAGUC
This 406-nucleotide long non-coding RNA is filed under the name Bos taurus (domestic cattle). Its description in RNAcentral is "long non-coding RNA NONBTAT004886". The record is from RNAcentral. Lineage: Eukaryota; Metazoa; Chordata; Mammalia; Artiodactyla; Bovidae.